GUGCCUACGGGACGCAGCAGGGAAUUUUGGACAAUGGGCGCAAGCCUGAUCCAGCUAUUCCGCGUGUGGGAUGAAGGCCCUCGAGUUGUAAACCACUUUUGUAGAGAACGAAAAGACACCUUCGAAUAAAGGGUGUUGCUGACGGUACUCUAAGAAUAAGCACCGGCUAACUACGUGCCAGCAGCCGCGGUAAUACGUAGGGUGCGAGCGUUAAUCGGAAUUACUGGGCGUAAAGGGUGCGCAGGCGGUUGAGGAAGACAGCUGUUAAAUCCCCGAGCUUAACUUGGGAAUGGC
This 294-nucleotide ribosomal RNA is filed under the name uncultured bacterium. RNAcentral describes it as "partial 16S ribosomal RNA". It matches the Rfam family "Bacterial small subunit ribosomal RNA", at positions 335 to 624 of the family's 1533-position model. The record is from RNAcentral.